Molecule: transfer RNA, 82 nt
Filed under: Dreissena polymorpha
Lineage: Eukaryota; Metazoa; Mollusca; Bivalvia; Myida; Dreissenidae
Description: transfer RNA serine (anticodon CGA)
Rfam family: tRNA
About the family: Transfer RNA (tRNA) molecules are approximately 80 nucleotides in length. Their secondary structure includes four short double-helical elements and three loops (D, anti-codon, and T loops).
Source: Rfam by way of RNAcentral
GUCGUGGUGGCCGAGUGGUUAAGGCGUUUGACUCGAAAUCAAAUGGGCUCUGCCCGCAUAUGUUCGAAUCCUGUCCACGACG